This 371-nucleotide ribosomal RNA is filed under the name Vibrio parahaemolyticus. RNAcentral's name for it is "bacterial LSU rRNA". It matches the Rfam family "Bacterial large subunit ribosomal RNA", at positions 68 to 489 of the family's 2925-position model. The record is from RNAcentral. Lineage: Bacteria; Pseudomonadati; Pseudomonadota; Gammaproteobacteria; Vibrionales; Vibrionaceae.
GCGAUAAGCCCAGAUUAGGUAGUAACAACCAUUUGAGUCUGGGAUUUCYGAAUGGGGAAACCCACKURCAUAAGYAMGUAUCCUUACCUGAAUACAUAGGGUAAGGAGGCGAACCGGGGGAACUGAAACAUCUAAGUACCCCGAGGAAAAGAAAUCAACCGAGAUUCCGAAAGUAGCGGCGAGCGAAAUUGGACUAGCCCUUAAGCUUUACACGCGUUAGACGAACGGUCUGGAAAGUCCGACGAUACAGGGUGAUAGUCCCGUAGUUGACGACGUGUGUUCAGUGAAAUCGAGUAGGGCGGGACACGUGAUAUCCUGUCUGAAUAUGGGGGGACCAUCCUCCAAGGCUAAAUACUACUGACUGACCGAUA